GGGAACCUACCCACCAGUGAGGGAUACCGGCGCGAAAGCGCCGACAAGCCCGCAUACGCUUCCCCCGUUGUGGGGAAGGAAAGCUCUUGCGGGGGCGCUGGUGGCUGGGCCUGUGGCCGAUUAGCUGGUUGGUGUGGUAAGAGCGCACCAAGGCGACGAUCGGUAGCUGGUCUGAGAGGACGAGCAGCCACACUGGGAUUGAGAACGGCCCAGACUCCUACGGGGGGCAGCAGUGAGGAAUUUUCCGCAAUGGAGGCAACUCUGACGGAGCAACGCCGCGUGCAGGAGGACGCACUUCGGUGUGUAAACUGCUUUUCUCAGGGACGAGUGAGGACGGUACCUGAGGAAGAAGCCCCGGCUAACUACGUGCCAGCAGCCGCGGUAAGACGUAGGGGGCGAGCGUUGUCCGGAGUUACUGGGCGUAAAGGGCCCGCAGGCGGGCUGGUGCGUUUGCGGUGACAGCGCGUGGCUAAACUGCGCGAGGGUCGCAAAGACGACCAGUCUUGAGGGCCAGAGAGGGACCUGGAAGUCCGGGUGGAGCGGUGAAAUGCGUAGAGAUCCGGAGGAACACCGAAAGCGAAGGCAGGGUCCUGGCUGGCACCUGACGCUCGUGGGCGAAAGCU
This 623-nucleotide ribosomal RNA is filed under the name uncultured bacterium. Its description in RNAcentral is "bacterial SSU rRNA". It matches the Rfam family "Bacterial small subunit ribosomal RNA", at positions 120 to 761 of the family's 1533-position model. The record is from RNAcentral.